Molecule: ribosomal RNA, 254 nt
Filed under: uncultured bacterium
Lineage: Bacteria
Description: partial 16S ribosomal RNA
Rfam family: Bacterial small subunit ribosomal RNA
Source: RNAcentral
UACGUAGGGGGCGAGCGUUGUCCGAAGUUACUGGGCGUAAAGAGCGCGUAGGCGGACCCUUAAGUGAGAGGUGAAAGGUUCAGGGCUCAACCCGAACACUGCCUUUCAUACUGGGGGCCUUGAGUGCGGGAGAGGCGAGUGGAAUGGUCGGUGUAGCGGUGAAAUGCGUAGAUAUCGAUCGGAACACCCAUGGCGAAGGCAGCUCGCUGGCCUGCAACUGACGCUGAGGCGCGAAAGCGUGGGGAGCAAACAGG